RNAcentral lists this transfer RNA (68 nucleotides) under Lophosaurus boydii (Boyd's forest dragon). RNAcentral's name for it is "tRNA-Tyr". It matches the Rfam family "tRNA". Rfam says of the family: Transfer RNA (tRNA) molecules are approximately 80 nucleotides in length. Lineage: Eukaryota; Metazoa; Chordata; Lepidosauria; Squamata; Agamidae. The record is from RNAcentral.
GUAAAGGUGGCUGAAUAAUAGGUGGUGGGUUGUAAUUCCAUUUAUGGGGUGUAAUUCCUCUCUUUACA